CUGGCUCAGAGCGAACGCUGGCGGCAGGCUUAACACAUGCAAGUCGAGCGGGCACUUUCGGGUGUCAGCGGCGGACGGGUGAGUAACGCGUGG
This 93-nucleotide ribosomal RNA is filed under the name Methylobacterium brachiatum. RNAcentral describes it as "16S rRNA. Bacterial SSU". It matches the Rfam family "Bacterial small subunit ribosomal RNA", at positions 19 to 120 of the family's 1533-position model. The record is from RNAcentral. Lineage: Bacteria; Pseudomonadati; Pseudomonadota; Alphaproteobacteria; Hyphomicrobiales; Methylobacteriaceae.